Molecule: transfer RNA, 73 nt
Filed under: Bos taurus (domestic cattle)
Lineage: Eukaryota; Metazoa; Chordata; Mammalia; Artiodactyla; Bovidae
Rfam family: tRNA
About the family: Transfer RNA (tRNA) molecules are approximately 80 nucleotides in length. Their secondary structure includes four short double-helical elements and three loops (D, anti-codon, and T loops). Further hydrogen bonds mediate the characteristic L-shaped molecular structure. tRNAs have two regions of fundamental functional importance: the anti-codon, which is responsible for specific mRNA codon recognition, and the 3' end, to which the tRNAs corresponding amino acid is attached (by aminoacyl-tRNA synthetases). tRNAs cope with the degeneracy of the genetic code in two manners: having more than one tRNA (with a specific anti-codon) for a particular amino acid; and 'wobble' base-pairing, i.e. permitting non-standard base-pairing at the 3rd anti-codon position.
Source: Rfam by way of RNAcentral
UCCCUGGCGGUCCAGUGGCUAAGACGCAGUGCUCUCAAUGCAGGAGUCCCGGGUUUGAUUCCUGGUCAGGGAA